RNAcentral lists this long non-coding RNA (4663 nucleotides) under Pan troglodytes (chimpanzee). RNAcentral describes it as "long non-coding RNA NONPTRT012088". The record is from RNAcentral. Lineage: Eukaryota; Metazoa; Chordata; Mammalia; Primates; Hominidae.
GACAAUCAGGGAGUAACUAGGACCAUCUUAGAGCAAGCUAAGUGCCUCAGGCGAGAUAACGCAGAGGUGGGGGACAGAGUGGGUGGGGAGGGGAGCCGCCAUACAGUGGCCAGGACCAGCUUUGCCCAAGUGGUGGCAACCGCAUGACCACAGGAACGAUGGCGUGAGCCCCAUGGCAACCUGGAGGAAGGGUGUGCUGGGCAGGGGAGGGCGGUGCAAAGACCCCAAGAAAGAGAGUCUGGCCCAUUGGCCAGCAUGGCUGGAGUGUGGGGACAGGGCAGCAGUGUGCGGGGGAGACUGGAGUCCCAGGAGAGGCCAGGUUGCAGGGCAUUGAGGGCCAGAGGAGGCACCUGGGCCUGUUCCCUUCCCAACCCUCAGGAUGGCCCACCCAUUACCCACAGCUGCACAUGAACGUCCUUUGGCGCUGGCCUCCAGGGUGGGGAAACCAGGCUCCUGCAGAGAGGGGCAGAUCUGAGUGUUCCCCGCCCUCGCCUGGGUGCACUCAGGGUCAGGCCUUGUGCCGGCAGAGUCCAUCCCAUGCCUCAUUACCCCCGGCUGGCUGAGGCCCACCCUGGGCUCCUGGUGGGUGGGGGCACUUCUGUGAGCUCCACCACUGUGUCUGUGAGCCCAACCCCGACCAGCCCCCUCCAGCUUCUGGGGCCUGCAAGGAGGAGGAAGGCCAGGGUAGAGGGAAUGGAGAGAGACUGUUCCAUGCGGAGGGGUGAGCCACCUUCUGCGGUGGAGGCCAGGAGCAAGGAUAUCCUCUGAGCCUGGUCUGGGGCCCCUCCCCCACUUCCCACCUCCCAGCUCUUCCCUCCUAGAGACACCUUCUUUGUCUGCAGAGGCCACUGCUCUGAUUCUGUUGUUGCUAGGUGAUGGGAACUGGGGGGAGCAAAGAGUGGGGAACUGGGCAGGGUCUGGCGGGGCUGUGGUGGGGGGAGCUGAAGCAUGAAGGCUCAUGGAGCACAGACACCUACACACAGCUCUGCAGGCAUGUGGGGACCCAGACCCACCCCCACAGCAGACACCCCCACAGAGCACUCAUGGCCCCCACAGAAAUACACCCACACUCAUCACAGCAAACCAAAACAAUCACACGCCGGUACACAAACACACACACCCCCGCACCAAUCCAGGCAGACACAAAGCUCACGGCGACAGGCAGAUCUGAUUCACACAGACACAGGCACAGGUGCCUCCUGAUGCCACCCUCUCUUGGUCACGUGCCAGCACUUGGAGGGAGGAAAGUGCCUCACCAGGCUGAGAUGCCCAAGGGACCCCCCAGGGAGGGAAAGCAGGACACACAGGGACAGUUGCUUCCAGCCCUGUCCACACCCUUGUGCCCACCAGGUAUGCCGCUCACCCCCACCCCACGUGGACCUUGGUGUCACCUAGGAUUGCAGAGGCCGCCUUCAGCCCAGAGCCUGGGGCCUUGCCCACUGCCUCACCUCCCGGGAUAGGGCAUGCUGGUCCUUUCUCCUUCCCUUUCUUUGCUCUUGUGUGCCUGCCUUUAGCAAACGCCCACUGGGUGUGUGGGUACACUGCGGCCUUUAAAGAGAAGAGAAACACAUGAGGUUCACAGCAGGAGGCCCUGCCUAGGUUCCAAGGGACAUGGAGCAGGGUGGCUGCGUAGAGCUGGGGAGCAUCCCAAGCCUGUGCCAAGGUUCCAAGGACAAAAAGGGCAAGGAGGCCCAGUGCGGGGUGGUGGGGGAGCGGCUAGCCAGGGCCAACAGUGAGCCUCGCGCCUGGGCAGGUGUAGCCUUUAAACGCGGUGGGGGAACCAUGGACAGCAUCUAAGCAGGGGCGUGCCGUGAGUCCUGGGGGUGCAGGGGUGUCUAGAGGGGAAGCUGGGAAGCAGGGGUCACAGCUUUCCGACGGGUGGCUGAGUGUGGGGAAGACAGGAGGGGCAGGUGUGAGAUGUACAGCAGACACAGCUGUGUGCUAGGGCAUGGUGGGCUGUGGUGAGAGAGAGGAGCAGGUCUUCUCCCCCCGUGUUCAGAGCAGAUCCAAACUCUUCUCCCAUUCCUUCCUCCACCGUGCAUCCUCAGCACCCCUCAGCACUGGCCUGUGUGGGCAGUGUGAGCACAGAGAGCAGGAGCUUGCCCUCAGAGGCUUCAGGGGGUCACUUGCACCCAGUGGUAUGGUCAGCAUCAUGUUCGACCAAAGGGAGGAAGGUGGCUGUGACCAGAGCGAGGGGGGGUCCUGAUGCAGCUGGGGAGUCAGGCUCGAGUGCUUGCUGUGCAUGUUCUCUGCCUCUCUUCCUGGGGGGCAGGCGAGUCUCCAGAGCCUGGAGGACAAGUUAGCCUUGCGAAGGAUAGCAGAGGACCCGGCCCAGGGGUCCCCAAAAUGGAGCACCAACCCUCCAUGCAGGCCAAGCCACUGGUGAAUAUGCUGCAAAAAAUAUGCUGGAACUUCUAUGAAUACCACAGGGUGUCAGAAGAAAACAUUAGAACUUCUAUUUUGUACCUGUCUUACUCCACAACGAGAAAGCAAUCAGCUUGAUCAAUGCCUACUGUAAAGACGGCACCGCCCUCUGGAGGUCCUUUCUCAGCCCUGGUGUUCGGACAGCCACAUCCCCUUGCAGCAGGGGGAGGCCUGAAGCAUAGAGGGGCCCACGCAGGUCUAUUCUGUUUCAGCGAAUUGCCUGGGUAAGUGGAUUUGUGGAUUAUAGUCUCUGGUUUUAAUUAAACUAACCCUAACAAAAUGAGCAAGUGGCUUAAGAAGUUUCAUGUGAAGGAAAUGUGUUUUGAAGAUAAUGGAAGCAAGAGCUUAGAACAAGAAAUGGUAACUCGGCACUCUUCUUCACUCCUGGAAGGAGCCACUCACGGUGCACAGUACUAGGUAAAUACAGCGUCUAUGGAAUCGGCCCUGAUGAGGAGUCGGACACAGAAAUUACAACUCACCAAGAAGCCUGCUUGAAAUGUGGUUUACAUCCACGGCCGUGAACACAGGCCCCACCUGGAAGACGCCCCGGGGGAGUAACAGGAGAAAAAGCAAGUGGCAGGACACAGUGUGCUUUAUAUCCCAUUUAUGAGAAAAACAAAAUCGAGUUAUGAUAUGUGUUAACACAUGCACGGGACCUGGAGGCACGCGCAUUACACCAGCUUCUCUUUGAAGGGAGGCCAGCACUGUCACCACUGUGUGUCUCGGCUGAUUUGAGUUAUUACAGUGAUUAUGCAUACAGUUACAGUGAGAGACAUGAUAAGGAAUUUUUAAGCAUCUAGGGUUUUUAAACCUUUUAUUUUGAAAUAAUUUUAGAUUUACUGAAGAACUAAAAGGUGGUGCAGAGAAUUCCUGUCCCGUAUGUUAACACAUCACGUAACCGUGAUACAACUGUCAGAACUAAGGAAUAACUGUUGCUGUGCCACCGUGAACUAGAGUUCAGAUGUCUCCAGCAUUUCCACUGAUGUCCUUUUUCUGUUUCAGGAAAUAAUCCAGGAUCCGUUUCGUGUGGUCAUCUUGUCUCCCUGGUCCCCUCCAGCCUUUCCUCAUCUUUUGUGACCUGGUCACUCUGGAAGGGUGCUGGCCGAAGCAGAAAGUUGAGGCUUAGAAGGUGCACGGCCCUACCUCUUCUGAGGUGCCCCUGCGGGCUGUCUACAGACCAGGCAGCACAUGCCUGAUAGCAGCUGCAUAAGGAAAAGCAGAAGCCAGCUCGUGCACAGUGGCCUCAAGUGUGCACUGGGCAUGUUCUCUGCCUCACCAUCCCUGUGUGACAGAUGAAGGAUCUAUAGGAAAACCCUCCUCUUCUUCUAUAUGCAAAGGCUGCACAGCUCCUGGUUCACCUGCACCUCUCCAGACCACCAUGGUGCCUGCAGCUCUGAGGGCAUUUUAAAUCAUCACAGAACAACAAGCAUAUAAGCAUUAUGAGUGCCUCUGGACCUCUGACGUGCCUUGUGGAGGCCUGCCAGGCCCACGUUUUAAUUUACAUGAACUCGAUGCCCUUUUUGACAGGGAGAGAUCUGCUUCUUUAUUUGUUAGCCUUUGCCCUGGACCUGCUAGAUCUGGACCAUCCCCAGGAAAGGAAGGUCACACCACAAAGAUAAAUAUAAACAAAAUGAGUUAAUUAAGAAGGAGUUAGUCUGAAAUUCAAUAUUCCCAAGAGUCCAAGCCCUUCAGUUCUAAGGGAAUUUUUCUCCCCUGUAAAAUAGAACUGUUGGGUACAGUGAGAUUCCAUUGUAUAUGGUCUCACUUAGAAUUUGUCUCAUUUCACAUAUGCAAACACUGAGGCUCUGUGAGGUGAGAGAUUUGCUGCACUAGGCCCUGAAAGGCACAGCCAGUGAGCAUUCAGCCCAGGGUACAUCUGCUGGCUUCACAGUUGCCCUGCUAUUCUGUGGUCCAAUGUGGCUGCUCUAGCUCCAGUCAUCACAUCUGCAUUCUUGCCAGUGGGAAGGGCAAAGCAUGACCUUUCUUUUUAAGACACGUUUGAAGUUGCAUACAUCAUUUCUGCUCAUGUUUCACUGGCCAGCAUUUAAACGGAUGGGCAUACCUAGCUGCAGGGAAGGCUGUAGUCUUCAUUCUGGGAUGAAGUGUACCCAGCUAAAAGUCUAGGGUUUUAUUUCUAUGAGAGAAAUUGAGCAUGGAUACUGGGGGACAAUGAACCAUUUCCACUUCAUCUUCUAAUAAAUGUGACAAGUGCAAUGCUUAUCAUAUAUUGUGUAUUGAC